This 1288-nucleotide ribosomal RNA is filed under the name Bacillus sonorensis. RNAcentral's name for it is "bacterial SSU rRNA". It matches the Rfam family "Bacterial small subunit ribosomal RNA", at positions 83 to 1356 of the family's 1533-position model. The record is from RNAcentral. Lineage: Bacteria; Bacillati; Bacillota; Bacilli; Caryophanales; Bacillaceae.
UCCCUGAUGUUAGCGGCGGACGGGUGAGUAACACGUGGGUAACCUGCCUGUAAGACUGGGAUAACUCCGGGAAACCGGGGCUAAUACCGGAUGCUUGAUUGAACCGCAUGGUUCAAUUAUAAAAGGUGGCUUUUAGCUACCACUUACAGAUGGACCCGCGGCGCAUUAGCUAGUUGGUGAGGUAACGGCUCACCAAGGCAACGAUGCGUAGCCGACCUGAGAGGGUGAUCGGCCACACUGGGACUGAGACACGGCCCAGACUCCUACGGGAGGCAGCAGUAGGGAAUCUUCCGCAAUGGACGAAAGUCUGACGGAGCAACGCCGCGUGAGUGAUGAAGGUUUUCGGAUCGUAAAACUCUGUUGUUAGGGAAGAACAAGUACCGUUCGAAUAGGGCGGUACCUUGACGGUACCUAACCAGAAAGCCACGGCUAACUACGUGCCAGCAGCCGCGGUAAUACGUAGGUGGCAAGCGUUGUCCGGAAUUAUUGGGCGUAAAGCGCGCGCAGGCGGUUUCUUAAGUCUGAUGUGAAAGCCCCCGGCUCAACCGGGGAGGGUCAUUGGAAACUGGGGAACUUGAGUGCAGAAGAGGAGAGUGGAAUUCCACGUGUAGCGGUGAAAUGCGUAGAGAUGUGGAGGAACACCAGUGGCGAAGGCGACUCUCUGGUCUGUAACUGACGCUGAGGCGCGAAAGCGUGGGGAGCGAACAGGAUUAGAUACCCUGGUAGUCCACGCCGUAAACGAUGAGUGCUAAGUGUUAGAGGGUUUCCGCCCUUUAGUGCUGCAGCAAACGCAUUAAGCACUCCGCCUGGGGAGUACGGUCGCAAGACUGAAACUCAAAGGAAUUGACGGGGGCCCGCACAAGCGGUGGAGCAUGUGGUUUAAUUCGAAGCAACGCGAAGAACCUUACCAGGUCUUGACAUCCUCUGACAACCCUAGAGAUAGGGCUUCCCCUUCGGGGGCAGAGUGACAGGUGGUGCAUGGUUGUCGUCAGCUCGUGUCGUGAGAUGUUGGGUUAAGUCCCGCAACGAGCGCAACCCUUGAUCUUAGUUGCCAGCAUUCAGUUGGGCACUCUAAGGUGACUGCCGGUGACAAACCGGAGGAAGGUGGGGAUGACGUCAAAUCAUCAUGCCCCUUAUGACCUGGGCUACACACGUGCUACAAUGGGCAGAACAAAGGGCAGCGAAGCCGCGAGGCUAAGCCAAUCCCACAAAUCUGUUCUCAGUUCGGAUCGCAGUCUGCAACUCGACUGCGUGAAGCUGGAAUCGCUAGUAAUCGCGGAUCAGCAUG